GUCCACGCCGUAAACGAUGGAUACUAGGUGUUUGGGGAGUUAACCCCCUGAGUACCAAAGCUAACGCAUUAAGUAUCCCGCCUGGGGAGUACGGUCGCAAGGCUAAAACUCAAAGGAAUUGACGGGGGCCCGCACAAGCGUGGAGUAUGUGGUUAAUUCGAAGCAACGCGCAGAACCUUACCUACCCUUAACAUCCCAGGACGAUGGCAGAGAUGUCAUUUUCCUUCGGAGACUUGGAGAUAGGUGCUGCAUGGCUGUCGU
Molecule: ribosomal RNA, 261 nt
Filed under: uncultured bacterium
Lineage: Bacteria
Description: partial 16S ribosomal RNA
Rfam family: Bacterial small subunit ribosomal RNA
Source: RNAcentral